GUUAUAGCUCGGAGAAUAUCUUUGUUCUCCCGGACUUCAAAUCCGGUGGCGGGCGAGCUUAAGUCCGCGGUGGGUUCGAUUCCCACCUACUCCC
RNAcentral lists this transfer RNA (94 nucleotides) under Bacillota bacterium. RNAcentral describes it as "tRNA-Sec". The stretch from base 11 to 87 matches the Rfam family "Selenocysteine transfer RNA". The record is from RNAcentral. Lineage: Bacteria; Bacillati; Bacillota.